RNAcentral lists this unclassified non-coding RNA (345 nucleotides) under soil metagenome. Its description in RNAcentral is "partial contains 5.8S ribosomal RNA, internal transcribed spacer 2, and large subunit ribosomal RNA". The stretch from base 1 to 121 matches the Rfam family "5.8S ribosomal RNA", at positions 35 to 154 of the family's 154-position model. The record is from RNAcentral.
GAUGAAGAACGCAGCGAAAUGCGAUAAGUAAUGCGAAUUGCAGAAUUUCCGUGAGUCAUCGAAUCUUUGAACGCACAUUGCGCCCACUGGUAUUCCGGUGGGCAUGCCUGUUCGAGCGUCAUUAUCCUCCCUCAAACCCCGGGUUUGGUGUUGGACCCAAGUUGUGUGAACAACUGGUCUCAAAGACAAUGACGGCGUCCGUGGGACCCUCGGUGCAACGAGCUUUUAGGAGCACGCAUCGAGUUGCAAGGACCUUCCGGGCCGGUCUCCUUUACCAUUUUACAAGGUUGACCUCGGAUCAGGUAGGAAUACCCACUGAACUUAAGCAUAUCAAUAAGCGGAGGA